Molecule: ribosomal RNA, 1365 nt
Filed under: Antarctophthirus lobodontis
Lineage: Eukaryota; Metazoa; Arthropoda; Insecta; Psocodea; Echinophthiriidae
Description: large subunit ribosomal RNA
Rfam family: Archaeal large subunit ribosomal RNA (bases 456-1120)
Source: RNAcentral
ACUCUAUCCUGAAUUAAGACUAUUUACUCACUCACUAUAGAGUCUUAAUGUUCUCAGUAACCCAAUAGAACACCAAACCUUUUCGAAAGUACAGAAGUGGUGAUACAUCUCCUUAGUUAGCAGUAGAUUAUCUAGUCGUACCUUUUGUAUCAGGGUAGUUGGAAUUAAAUGUCCAAUAACACAUCUCCCGAAAAGAAAUGAUUUUCUCUCCUUUCCUGCCCUAUGUAACAAUAUAGGCUCCCAAGAGAGAGAGGUAGUGACAAGCUAAUCGGAUUUCUAGUUACCUGGUUACUCCACUAAUCUUUACAGAAGAAUGUAGCCUAAAUAUCCUUCAGGCCCUACUACACAGUUCGAGGGAUAAGCUUCGUACUAUCAUCAGUAUGUGCACAUCUCUUAUUUACUAAACACAGCGGCUCUUUCUGUAUCAAAUUUGUUGGGACAUCUAAUAAGCACAGGAGUCUCUCUUCCAAACUACUCUCAAGAGUUGAAUAUCAGCUAAUUAGUAAUUGUAAAGUGACACUUCGAAGGAACUCGGCAAACCUCCAAUUGGCCUGUUUAUUAAAAACAUCUCCUCUCCUUUAUACACAAAAUGUGAGGUCACACCUGCCCAAUGCCUUCAAUAGGUGAAUGGCUGCAGUAACUUGACUGUGCAAAGGUAGCAUAAUAACUUGUCUCCUAAUUAGAGUCUAGAAUGAACGGUAACACCGAAUUGGGACUGUCUCCGAUAUGCUCUGUGAACUUAAAUUGUGGGUGAAAAUGCCUACAUACCUUAGUCGGACGAGAAGACCCUGUAGAUCUUAACUGCCUCUAUUUGACAAAUCAUCUAGAAUAAGUUUACCUGGGACGGGGUGCAAACCAAACUUUCUUUGAAGAAAAACUAUCCGUUGAACAAUGUUGACCCUCUAUCUUUGAGAGUGUGAGAACAAGUUACCUCAGGGAUAACAGCGUAAUCUAACUUCUCAGACCAAAUGGGAUAGUAAGGUUUACGACCUCGAUGUUGAAUUAAGUUUUCUCCUCCAUGAGUAAGCACAUAGGAAGUUAGUCUGUUCGACUAUCAAAAACUUACAUGAUUUGAGUUUAGACCGACGUGAGUCAGGUCAGAUUCUAUCCUCUAUUUAUUUAAAGUAAUCUUAGUACGAAAGGACCAGAUAGCUAGUGAGCCUACUUAUUUCGAUAGGAUUCUAUAUUUACUUUAGAACUAGUCAAGUGAAUUGACCUUUCGAAGUGGCUUGCGUAAGCAAACUAUAUCUCCUUUCUAAAUAUACAUCUUGAUACCAUAAUUGGUAGGAGCUGUUUAGGGAUUUAUUCCUUAAACUUAUGCGACUAAGCAAUUGGUAUCGAUGUAGAAUUUAUCACUCCCUCAAG